GGGACAACAUUUGGAAACGAAUGCUAAUACCGCAUAACAACUUUAAACACAAGUUUUAAGUUUGAAAGAUGCAAUUGCAUCACUCAAAGAUGAUCCCGCGUUGUAUUAGCUAGUUGGUGAGGUAAAGGCUCACCAAGGCGAUGAUACAUAGCCGACCUGAGAGGGUGAUCGGCCACAUUGGGACUGAGACACGGCCCAAACUCCUACGGGAGGCAGCAGUAGGGAAUCUUCGGCAAUGGACGAAAGUCUGACCGAGCAACGCCGCGUGAGUGAAGAAGGUUUUCGGAUCGUAAAACUCUGUUGGUAGAGAAGAACGUUGGUGAGAGUGGGAAGCUCAUCAAGUGACGGUAACUACCCAGAAAGGGACGGCUAACUACGUGCCAGCAGCCGCGGUAAUACGUAGGUCCCGAGCGUUGUCCGGAUUUAUUGGGCGUAAAGCGAGCGCAGGUGGUUUAUUAAGUCUGGUGUAAAAGGCAGUGGCUCAACCAUUGUAUGCAUUGGAAACUGGUAGACUUGAGUGCAGGAGAGGAGAGUGGAAUUCCAUGUGUAGCGGUGAAAUGCGUAGAUAUAUGGAGGAACACCGGUGGCGAGAGCGGCUCUCUGGCCUGUAACUGACACUGAGGCUCGUAAGCGUGGGGAGCAAACAGGAUUAGAUACCCUGGUAGUCCACGCCGUAAACGAUGAGUGCUAGAUGUAGGGAGCUAUAAGUUCUCUGUAUCGCAGCUAACGCAAUA
Molecule: ribosomal RNA, 734 nt
Filed under: Lactococcus lactis
Lineage: Bacteria; Bacillati; Bacillota; Bacilli; Lactobacillales; Streptococcaceae
Description: bacterial SSU rRNA
Rfam family: Bacterial small subunit ribosomal RNA
Source: RNAcentral